This 505-nucleotide ribosomal RNA is filed under the name uncultured bacterium. Its description in RNAcentral is "partial 16S ribosomal RNA". It matches the Rfam family "Bacterial small subunit ribosomal RNA", at positions 28 to 507 of the family's 1533-position model. The record is from RNAcentral.
GACGAACGCUGGCGGCGUGCCUAAUACAUGCAAGUAGAACGCACAGUUUAUACUGUAGCUUGCUACACCAUAAACUGUGAGUUGCGAACGGGUGAGUAACGCGUAGGUAACCUGCCUGGCAGCGGGGGAUAACUAUUGGAAACGAUAGCUAAUACCGCAUAAUAUUGAUUAUUGCAUGAUACUUGAUUUAACGAUGCUAUUGAAUCACUACUAGAUGGACCUGCGUUGUAUUAGCUAGUAGGUGAGGUAACGGCUAACCUAGGCGACGAUACAUAGCCGACCUGAAAGGGUGAUCGGCCACACUGGGACUGAGACACGGCCCAGACUCCUACGGGAGGCAGCAGUAGGGAAUCUUCGGCAAUGGACGAAAGUCUGACCGAGCAACGCCGCGUGAGUGAAGAAGGUUUUCGGAUCGUAAAGCUCUGUUGUAAUAGAAGAACGGGUGUGAGAGUGGAAAGUUCACACUGUGACGGUAUCUUACCAGAAAGGGACGGCUAACUACGUG